Molecule: ribosomal RNA, 503 nt
Filed under: uncultured bacterium
Lineage: Bacteria
Description: partial 16S ribosomal RNA
Rfam family: Bacterial small subunit ribosomal RNA
Source: RNAcentral
AUUGAACGCUGGCGGCAGGCUUAACACAUGCAAGUCGAGCGGGGUGAUGGUGCUUGCACUAUCACUUAGCGGCGGACGGGUGAGUAAUGCUUAGGAAUCUGCCUAUUAGUGGGGGACAACAUCUCGAAAGGGAUGCUAAUACCGCAUACGUCCUACGGGAGAAAGCAGGGGAUCACUUGUGUCCUUGCGCUAAUAGAUGAGCCUAAGUCGGAUUAGCUAGUUGGUGGGGUAAAGGCCUACCACGGCGACGAUCUGUAGCGGGUCUGAGAGGAUGAUCCGCCACACUGGGACUGAGACACGGCCCAGACUCCUACGGGAGGCAGCAGUGGGGAAUAUUGGACAAUGGGGGGAACCCUGAUCCAGCCAUGCCGCGUGUGUGAAGAAGGCCUUAUGGUUGUAAAGCACUUUAAGCGAGGAGGAGGCUCUUUUGGUUAAUACCCAAGAUGAGUGGACGUUACUCGCAGAAUAAGCACCGGCUAACUCUGUGCCAGCAGCCGCCGUAA